GGUAAUGUCUACUACACCUUUAUCCAUGUAGGCACUCGGUCAUGCUGUGGGUGAUUCGACCUUAGACGUAUAUCGUCGAGGGUAUGGCGUGAGGAUGGGUUGAAUGCCC
RNAcentral lists this non-coding RNA (109 nucleotides) under uncultured Xylanibacillus sp. RNAcentral describes it as "epsC RNA". It matches the Rfam family "epsC RNA". Lineage: Bacteria; Bacillati; Bacillota; Bacilli; Caryophanales; Paenibacillaceae. The record is from RNAcentral.